UACGUAGGGUGCGAGCGUUGUCCGGAAUUAUUGGGCGUAAAGAGCUCGUAGGCGGUUUGUUGCGUCGGCCGUGAAAACCUGCAGCUUAACUGUGGGCCUGCGGCCGAUACGGGCAGACUUGAGUUCGGUAGGGGAGACUGGAAUUCCUGGUGUAGCGGUGAAAUGCGCAGAUAUCCGGAGGAACACCGGUGGCGAAGGCGGCUUCCUGGACCGACACUGACGCUGAGGCGCGAAAGCUAGGGGAGCAAACGGG
RNAcentral lists this ribosomal RNA (253 nucleotides) under uncultured bacterium. RNAcentral describes it as "partial 16S ribosomal RNA". It matches the Rfam family "Bacterial small subunit ribosomal RNA", at positions 524 to 776 of the family's 1533-position model. The record is from RNAcentral.